This 466-nucleotide ribosomal RNA is filed under the name uncultured Aquimonas sp. RNAcentral describes it as "bacterial SSU rRNA". It matches the Rfam family "Bacterial small subunit ribosomal RNA", at positions 1 to 468 of the family's 1533-position model. Lineage: Bacteria; Pseudomonadati; Pseudomonadota; Gammaproteobacteria; Lysobacterales; Lysobacteraceae. The record is from RNAcentral.
UUUAGAGUUUGAUCCAUGGCUCAGAUUGAACGCCGGCGGCAUGCCUAACACAUGCAAGUCGAACGGCAGCGCGGGGGCAACCCUGGCGGCGAGUGGCGGACGGGUGAGGAAUGCAUAGGAAUCUGCCCGGUUGUGGGGGAUAACGUAGGGAAACUUACGCUAAUACCGCAUACGACCUUUGGGUGAAAGUGGGGGACCUUCGGGCCUCACGCGAUCGGAUGAGCCUAUGCCCGAUUAGCUAGUUGGCGGGGUAAGAGCCCACCAAGGCGACGAUCGGUAGCUGGUCUGAGAGGAUGAUCAGCCACACUGGGACUGAGACACGGCCCAGACUCCUACGGGAGGCAGCAGUGGGGAAUAUUGGACAAUGGGCGCAAGCCUGAUCCAGCAAUGCCGCGUGUGUGAAGAAGGCCUUCGGGUUGUAAAGCACUUUUGUUCGGGAAGAAAUCCGUGUGGUAAACCUGUACGG